GGCCGGAGCGGGCCCCUCGGGGCUGGGGGCCGGCCGGAACAAGGCCCACUGCGCGGACGGUGGCCGUCGCCCCCGGUGUGAUUCUGCUAGGGGAGGAACUCAUCAAGAAGACAUGACCGCCCCCUGACCCACAAGCUGGCCCCAGGCAGCUGGAGGCUCCCAGCCCCUCCCCAUCCUUGGAAGGUGGGUCGUGCCCAUCAUUCCCACAGUGGGAGACGUUUGCAAGGACACAGCCUUAAGAGAGCCAUGCGUUUUUGAGACCAUGUAGACAUGUGGAUGGGACACAGGACUGAGCCCAGGGAAAUGUUUUCCAUUGGCUGAUUGAUGGCAGCCGAAAGGCGCCCCUCAGGGUCCCAUCCCCACACUGCACGUUGGUAAAUUCUGAAUGGUGGUAAUGAUGCUUGCAAUAUCAUUUCACGGGAAGCUGGAAAGGUGCGACGGGCAGCUGCCCCUAAGAGAAACACAAUUAAUUCCAAUGAGAACACUGAGGCAAUCUGACGAGAGCGGGGUGCUAUCCCAGUCCAGAGGGGUGGGGCUCCUGGACACCCACACUUUGACUCGGCAUAACAGGCACUGAAGAUACAAAAGAAGAAUAGCACAAUCCUUGUCUAAAAGUCCUUAAGAGU
Molecule: long non-coding RNA, 626 nt
Organism: Manis pentadactyla (Chinese pangolin)
Lineage: Eukaryota; Metazoa; Chordata; Mammalia; Pholidota; Manidae
Exons: 4
Source: RefSeq, a predicted model, not a curated record